This 503-nucleotide ribosomal RNA is filed under the name uncultured Lachnospiraceae bacterium. RNAcentral describes it as "partial 16S ribosomal RNA". Lineage: Bacteria; Bacillati; Bacillota; Clostridia; Lachnospirales; Lachnospiraceae. The record is from RNAcentral.
CACGUAGUUAGCCGGGGCUUCUUGGUCAGGUACCGUCUUGUCUCGUUCCUGCUGAUAGAGCUUUACAUACCGAAAUACUUCUUCACUCACGCGGCGUCGCUGCAUCAGGGUUUCCCCCAUUGUGCAAUAUUCCCCACUGCUGCCUCCCGUAGGAGUUUGGGCCGUGUCUCAGUCCCAAUGUGGCCGUCCACCCUCUCAGGCCGGCUACUGAUCGUCGCUUUGGUAGGUCGUUACCCUGCCAACUGGCUAAUCAGACGCGGGUCCAUCCCAUACCACCGGAGUUUUUCACACAGGAGCAUGCGCUCCCGUGCGCUUAUGCGGUAUUAGCACCUGUUUCCAGGUGGUAUCCCCCGGUAUGGGGCAGGUUACCCACGCGUUACUCACCCGUCCGCCACUAAGAUACUCAUUUCCAAAGUGCAAGCACUCCUUCAUAAGCAUCCCCGUUGACUUGCAUGUGUUAAGCACGCCGCCAGCGUUCAUCCUGAGCCAGGAUCAAACUCUAC